RNAcentral lists this long non-coding RNA (1172 nucleotides) under Triticum aestivum (bread wheat). RNAcentral describes it as "long non-coding RNA (TAES_LNC022954)". Lineage: Eukaryota; Viridiplantae; Streptophyta; Magnoliopsida; Poales; Poaceae. The record is from RNAcentral.
AAAUACUUCCUUUGUUUCAUAAUACUAGGAUAAUGCCCGUGCGUUUCAACGGGAUAUAAAUAUUUUAAUACAAUAGAAAAUUACAAUGGUGCAUACAUAUCUUUGUGGUUUAACUUCAAUCGCGCCAAACUUGUACCUUUAGGAUCCUUUUGCACAUCAGACGAUAAUGUAGAUUUUUUUUACAGUCUUCUUCCUUCACCAACUACCGUCAAAUCUCUGCCUUUUCAAUCCAAGCUCGACAUGCCUGUCAAUGUGGCAUCCGGCUCAUAAUCCGGCACAAACUUAAAAGACAAAAUAAAUAAAUAAAUAAAUAAAUAAACAUUUGCCCAGUCAACCUCGUCCAUUGAUCUAAGCGGCUAAACCCACAUAAAAUGCACAUCAACAUCAAAAUUCAACCGCUCGCUUCCUAGCGGUGUCGUGCACCCAUAGGAUGUUGACUCCAUUCUUACUACAAUUAUCUCUAUGUUGCUACCAAAUAUAUUACGUAAGAUCUUUAUAUCUAGUCUAAGAAGCAUGUGCAUUAUUACAACUUACAAAACAAUAUAAUAUGACUAUGUAUUUCCUCUCUUGUCUCUUAUUCUUUCUCCUCCCACCCAGUUCAUUUUUUUAUUUAUUUGUUGUCAAUUUUCUUAUCAAGAUUUUGAAUAAAGAAAUUUUGAAAAUGCUCACAUGGAAAUAAAUAUGGAGAAAACCAAUUAUUAAGACCGUCGAAGCAAAUAAAAAGAUGAGAUAAUACCUUGAUAAAAAUAUUUGCAGAUCCACUACUGUGACUGCUUGGAUCACUGUUUGAGUACACUGCCCCAAUGGGCUGUUGUUCACUGGAGCACAAUUCAACACUUGCAGUGCACUUGAAGCUGCCAAAUGGAUAUUAUCAGAAAGCAUGCACGAGUAGCCAAAGCUGAUGAUAAAUGAAAUGAAGAAUAAUAUAGAACAGUUAUGAUGCCGUUGGUACAACUUCCAAACAAUCCUCAAAUUUGAAGUCUGAAAUCAUGAAAUAAAGCCAUGAAAGAAUAUAUAAACUGUAGUAGGUAGACAAAUUAUCAUCGGUCUAAUUAUGCAUGCAUGCGAUGCUGGAUUAUGUAGAGAUUGAAAUUUGUACCGAAGCUUCCUAUUCUAGUACCAACUAUUCCUCACCCACAGACAUGGAGAUCGUUGGUGUGACCAGAGACGUC